GAUGAACGCUGGCGGCGUGCUUAACACAUGCAAGUCGAGGCGAAGCGAUCAAAUGGAUUUCUUCGGAAAGAAGCUUGAUUGACUUAGCGGCGGACGGGUGAGUAACGCGUGGGUAACCUGCCUCAUACAGGGGAAUAACAGUUAGAAAUGACUGCUAAUGCCGCAUAAGCGCACAGGGUCGCAUGACCUGGUGUGAAAAACUCCGGUGGUAUGAGAUGGACCCGCGUCUGAUUAGCUGGUUGGUGGGGUAACGGCCUACCAAGGCGACGAUCAGUAGCCGACUUGAGAGAGUGACCGGCCACAUUGGGACUGAGACACGGCCCAA
RNAcentral lists this ribosomal RNA (325 nucleotides) under uncultured bacterium. Its description in RNAcentral is "bacterial SSU rRNA". It matches the Rfam family "Bacterial small subunit ribosomal RNA", at positions 28 to 334 of the family's 1533-position model. The record is from RNAcentral.